AGUCCAUGACUCGGGCAUUUAAGUAGGAAUUUCUUAAACCUCAACCUGGUUUCAUGGAUGGGUUCACCCUCCAAUCAGUUAAAACAUUGAAUGUCAUAUCUGAGUUU
Molecule: small nucleolar RNA, 107 nt
Organism: Solanum pennellii
Lineage: Eukaryota; Viridiplantae; Streptophyta; Magnoliopsida; Solanales; Solanaceae
Source: RefSeq, a predicted model, not a curated record